Molecule: ribosomal RNA, 554 nt
Filed under: uncultured bacterium
Lineage: Bacteria
Description: bacterial SSU rRNA
Rfam family: Bacterial small subunit ribosomal RNA
Source: RNAcentral
ACGGUACCCGACUAAGAAGCACCGGCUAACUACGUGCCAGCAGCCGCGGUAAUACGUAGGGUGCGAGCGUUAAUCGGAAUUACUGGGCGUAAAGCGUGCGCAGGCGGUUUGGUAAGUCAGAUGUGAAAUCCCCGGGCUCAACCUGGGAACUGCAUUUGAGACUGCCAAGCUGGAGUUUGGCAGAGGGGGGUGGAAUUCCACGUGUAGCAGUGAAAUGCGUAGAGAUGUGGAGGAACACCGAUGGCGAAGGCAGCCCCCUGGGCCAAUACUGACGCUCAUGCACGAAAGCGUGGGGAGCAAACAGGAUUAGAUACCCUGGUAGUCCACGCCCUAAACGAUGUCAACUAGGUGUUGGGAGGGUUAAACCUUUUAGUGCCGUAGCUAACGCGUGAAGUUGACCGCCUGGGGAGUACGGCCGCAAGGCUAAAACUCAAAGGAAUUGACGGGGACCCGCACAAGCGGUGGAUGAUGUGGAUUAAUUCGAUGCAACGCGAAAAACCUUACCUACCCUUGACAUGUCAGGAAUCCUGGAGAGAUUUGGGAGUGCUCGCAAG